Dermacentor silvarum is the source of this 1731-nucleotide RNA transcript. It is a transcript of the gene named microtubule-associated protein RP/EB family member 1-like, with no coding region annotated. The record is from RefSeq and is a predicted model, not a curated record. Lineage: Eukaryota; Metazoa; Arthropoda; Arachnida; Ixodida; Ixodidae. The transcript has 3 exons.
CUGCUGCCGCCCGUCAUCAUCGUCCGUAUGCCACUUUUUUGUCCGCCCACCAUAGAGAGCUUGGCUGGACGCCUCGGGCUCGUCGACGUUCUUUUCGCCCUGUCGGGCACGCACGGCGCUGGCGCGCGCGUGUGUGUCUCCCCGUGCAGGGCAGAACGUCUCCGAGGCGCCGAGCGGCUUUGACCGUGUGCUCGUGUGGUUCGCGCGGGACCAGCUCAGUACCCCGCGUAUAUUUAACUCCGGAACGGCAUAGCGCCCACGGCUCUCGAACUGCGUGCUCGGUUGUUUGUGCGCGAACAUGUAGCUUUUUGUUACCGAACGAAGGAUCGUAAAUGCAGCACCCUACAGGCGCUCCGGCCAGCGCCCGGAGCAGCCGCGCAUCACCGGGAGCUAAAAGGCCACGCACACGGCAGAGUCCACCCUGCGUCCUGCCACCUGCCAACGUGCCUAACUGUGCGUCAUUGCAACCACUGUAUACAUGCAGAAAGUGCGGUGGCCGCUGUAAAAUGCGUGCGUGCUCUCCGAUACUCCGUCGUCUGCAACGCAUGCUCGGAUAACGACUCACGCGCGACCUUCCAAACAGAAAGAAACAUUUAGUAAAGAAGUUGAAAAGCAAGGUUCACUUCGUCUGACAUUGCGCCGGAGGCAGGAAUCGACUCGUUCGUCAUUCAAGGAAUACUGCUCCUUUACCAAUCCCUUGCUCUUGGAACGUGCCUUAACUGUAGAAGAGGAGGAAGAAGAAGAAGCCCUGCUCAGCCGGCCGCACCUUUCGUUCUUCGGGUGUGAGUCGAAACGCAGCUGACGACAACGCGGGCAACCUGGGCCUCUUUGGUCAACCCAGCAAGGGGAAAGGAAGUCCUCGGGACCAGAUACGGCAAGGUCGAAGAUCUGUCCCCCUGGAGCGAGAAGUACUGCCAGUUCAUGGAAAUACUCGCUCCGGUGAGCCUCAACUCGGCCGAGGUAACCUCGAGUGCUCCCUGCGAACGAGAGUCCAUCCAGAAUUUCGAGGUGCCUCAAGCUGCGUUUGAGCAGCUCGACGGAAGCAAGAGCGAAACCAUGGCGCGAUUGGCCGAGGACCGCCUCCUGGAUGACUUCCAGCUCGUCCGGCGGUCCAGGGACAUCUUCGACGCCUACUACCCUGGCCCGGUGGUCGAAUCCUCGGAGGCUGAAGGCGUUACACGAGUAUGCAUUGUCACGUCUCGCUCGCUCGGAUCCCUCGCCAACCCGACGAUUGCCGACGGCUCGACCGACGCCAAGACUUUUCACGCGCCAGUUUCAACAGCGAUGCGAAUGACGAGCUGCGCGUGUGCCGGACAUUCUUCGAACCGCUUCGUGGCGUCUGCACGCCAAUCCGUGGAGCAGGAGCUGAGGUCGUGCCGCCAGCUGUGCUAAGAGCGCAUAUUCUAGUUGUAAGCAGAACGCGCCAUUCAGGUCGUCUACGGGAAACACCAAAGGGAGCGCACAAGUCGCCGACCAGAUCCGGAAAUCCAUGAGCAUCAAGGAAGAGCCAAGAGGCAUCUUCCGAAUCGCCAGUUUACGAAACUUUUAAUCCAGUGCGCCUCAUGUGCCGACACAUGUCAAACGAUGUCGCUUGCCGCCCUUCUUAGUGAAGAGCAAUAACAUCAAAUAGCCAGGAACUGGAGUGGAUGGAUUUAUUCGAGUGCUGCUUCCGGCAACAUACAAUUGUUAAAAUAGAUACUCAACUCCUUAUGGAGUUGUGCUUGCGAUGCU